AGAAGAAGAAGAAGAAGAAGAAGAAGAAGAAGAAGGUCUUUAUAACCAGUCUGGUUGAGGAUGAAUCGCCAGUCGUCAGCCUAACCUCCCCUUCCCGACCCCUCCACGGAUUCUUCGAAGAUUCAAGCUCCAAAAAUGAUUAUAGACUGAAGACUGUCUAAUGCAGUAGAGGAGCAUGUUGGUGUCUCUGGCCAAACUUCACAAACAGCCCAACAACCCGAAGACAGUCUGUUAAUGAGUGGACAUCUCUCUGGUGGAGUGCAGGGAGGAACUGUCUCUUAUCAACAGAAACAUAAACUGGGUAAAAAAUGAUG
Poecilia reticulata (guppy) is the source of this 314-nucleotide non-coding RNA. NCBI's taxonomy places the organism in Eukaryota, Metazoa, Chordata, Actinopteri, Cyprinodontiformes, Poeciliidae. The record is from RefSeq and is a predicted model, not a curated record.